AGAGCGGCGCACGGGUGCGUAACGCGUAUGCAAUCUACCUCUAACUGGGGGAUAGCCCAAAGAAAUUUGGAUUAACACCGCAUAAUAUUAUCGAAUGGCAUCAUUUGAUAAUCAAAACUCCGGUGGUUAGAGAUGAGCAUGCGUGACAUUAGCUAGUUGGUAAGGUAACGGCUUACCAAGACAGCGAUGGGUAGGGGCCCUGAGAGGGGGAUCCCCCACACUGGUACUGAGACACGGACCAGACUUC
RNAcentral lists this ribosomal RNA (247 nucleotides) under uncultured bacterium. RNAcentral describes it as "partial 16S ribosomal RNA". It matches the Rfam family "Bacterial small subunit ribosomal RNA", at positions 92 to 339 of the family's 1533-position model. The record is from RNAcentral.